RNAcentral lists this transfer RNA (73 nucleotides) under Stegodyphus mimosarum. It matches the Rfam family "tRNA". From Rfam's summary of the family: Transfer RNA (tRNA) molecules are approximately 80 nucleotides in length. The record is from Rfam by way of RNAcentral. Lineage: Eukaryota; Metazoa; Arthropoda; Arachnida; Araneae; Eresidae.
GCCUUCGUGGUCUAGUGGGCAACACGCUCGGCGCGUAACCGAGAGAUCCGUGGUUCGAUUCCCGGCGAAGGCG